UACGUAGGGGGCGAGCGUUGUCCGGAUUCAUUGGGCGUAAAGCGCGCGUAGGCGGCUUGGCAAGUCGGCCGUGAAAUCUCCAGGCUCAACUUGGAGGGGUCGGGCGAGACUGCUGGGCUCGAGGUGGGCAGAGGGCAGUGGAAUUCCGGGUGUAGUGGUGGAAUGCGUAGAGAUCCGGAGGAACACCAGUGGCGAAGGCGGCUGCCUGGGCCUGGCCUGACGCUGAGGCGCGAAAGCGUGGGGAGCGAUCCGG
This 253-nucleotide ribosomal RNA is filed under the name uncultured bacterium. RNAcentral describes it as "partial 16S ribosomal RNA". It matches the Rfam family "Bacterial small subunit ribosomal RNA", at positions 524 to 776 of the family's 1533-position model. The record is from RNAcentral.